AAGUCGUAACAAGGUUUCCGUAGGUGAACCUGCGGAAGGAUCAUUAUUGAAUCUUUGAAAGGAGCUGUUUGCUGGCCUUCAUCUGAGGGCAUGUGCACGCUCCGUUCAAAUCCAAACCCUCAUACACCUGUGCACCUUUUGUAGGCUCAGUCGAAAGGCUGUUUCUAUGUUCAUUUAUAAACUCAAUAGUAUGUGUAGAAUGUCAACGCGUGUAACGCAUCUUUAUACAACUUUCAGCAACGGAUCUCUUGGCUCUC
RNAcentral lists this unclassified non-coding RNA (257 nucleotides) under Postia rennyi. RNAcentral's name for it is "partial internal transcribed spacer region". The stretch from base 1 to 46 matches the Rfam family "Eukaryotic small subunit ribosomal RNA", at positions 1786 to 1831 of the family's 1831-position model. RNAcentral also lists the same sequence under 1 other name. The record is from RNAcentral. Lineage: Eukaryota; Fungi; Basidiomycota; Agaricomycetes; Polyporales; Postiaceae.